AAUUAUCUGCCACCGGGUAGGAAAUGCAGCUGCAUUCAUCUCACAUCAUUAGGUCUUUGAAGAUGUGUCAUGGAUGCUUCUUUUUUU
RNAcentral lists this non-coding RNA (87 nucleotides) under unclassified sequences. The record is from RNAcentral.